This 391-nucleotide long non-coding RNA is filed under the name Setaria viridis. RNAcentral describes it as "long non-coding RNA (SVIR_LNC004643)". Lineage: Eukaryota; Viridiplantae; Streptophyta; Magnoliopsida; Poales; Poaceae. The record is from RNAcentral.
UUCCAGCUAUGCUUGAAGCCCAUGACAUGCUUUAUCCUUUCGCUAGCACAUAUUUCCAUGACUUCAUUGAAUAUGGGAUCAUUUUUACUCCUCGUGUAAUCCAAAUCUACUCAUUGUGCCUCAUGAGUGAUCUUGGACUUCUUUAGAAUAAUUGUGGUAUAGAAAUCCUGCUGAAAAGAACUCCAAAAUCUAUAAUCAUGAGCGGUUCUAGGCACACUAUAGGGAUCCUCCCUCCUUAGCUUCUUAGCUGCCUCGGUCAUGCCAUCCCCAAAAUAAUUUGUAGGCCCUCUGUGAUAGGAUAGGGUGGCCUAAGAAUUAUGAGUAUCUCAAGGUUAUCAUCUCCAUCAUCAUUAUCAUCACCAUCAUCACCAUCUCCACCAUCAUCACCAUC